GAUGAACGCCGGCGGCGUGCCUAAUACAUGCAAGUCGAGCGAACGGAUGAGAAGCUUGCUUCUUUGACGUUAGCGGCGGACGGGUGAGUAACACGUGGGUAACCUACCUAUAAGACUGGGAUAACUUCGGGAAACCGGAGCUAAUACCGGAUAACAUUUUGAACCGCAUGGUUCUAAAGUGAAAGAUGGUCUUGCUAUCACUUAUAGAUGGACCCGCGCUGCAUUAGCUAGUUGGUAAGGUAACGGCUUACCAAGGCAACGAUGCGUAGCCGACCUGAGAGGGUGAUCGGCCACACUGGAACUGAGACACGGUCCAGACUCCUACGGGAGGCAGCAGUAGGGAAUCUUCCGCAAUGGGCGAAAGCCUGACGGAGCAACGCCGCGUGAGUGAUGAAGGGCUUCGGAUCGUAAAACUCUGUUAUUAGGGAAGAACAUAUGUGUAAGUAACUGUGCACGUCUUGACGGUACCUAAUCAGAAAGCCACGGCUAACUACGUG
RNAcentral lists this ribosomal RNA (497 nucleotides) under uncultured bacterium. RNAcentral's name for it is "partial 16S ribosomal RNA". It matches the Rfam family "Bacterial small subunit ribosomal RNA", at positions 28 to 507 of the family's 1533-position model. The record is from RNAcentral.